ACGGAAGGCAGCAGUGGGGAAUAUUGGACAAUGGGGGAAACCCUGAUCCAGCGACGCCGCGUGAGUGAAGAGGUAUUUCGGUAUGUAAAGCUCUAUCAGCAGGGAAGAAAAUGACGGUACCUGACUAAGAAGCCCCGGCUAACUACGUGCCAGUAGCCGCGGUAAUACGUAGGGGGCAAGCGUUAUCCGGAUUUACUGGGUGUAAAGGGAGCGUAGACGGCAACACAAGUCUGAAGCGAAAGCCCGCGGCUUAACUGCGAGACUGCUUUGGAAACUGUGCAGCUAGAGUGUCGGAGAGGUGAGUGGAAUUCCCAGUGUAGCGGUGAAAUGCGUAGAUAUUGGGAGGAACACCAGUGGCGAAGGCGGCUCACUGGACGAUAACUGACGUUGAUGCUCGAAAGCGUGGGGAGCAAACAGGAUUAGAUACCCUGGUA
RNAcentral lists this ribosomal RNA (434 nucleotides) under uncultured Lachnospiraceae bacterium. RNAcentral describes it as "partial 16S ribosomal RNA". It matches the Rfam family "Bacterial small subunit ribosomal RNA", at positions 341 to 792 of the family's 1533-position model. The record is from RNAcentral. Lineage: Bacteria; Bacillati; Bacillota; Clostridia; Lachnospirales; Lachnospiraceae.